This 350-nucleotide long non-coding RNA is filed under the name Ananas comosus (pineapple). Its description in RNAcentral is "long non-coding RNA (ACOM_LNC002453)". The record is from RNAcentral. Lineage: Eukaryota; Viridiplantae; Streptophyta; Magnoliopsida; Poales; Bromeliaceae.
ACUUGCCUAAGUCUUUGGUUAUUCAGGCAGCGUUUUGUUAGGGAAUAGGGAUAGGAAUAGGAAUAGGCCCUUAUCCCUCCUUUAUAUCCAAACGUUAAUUUUUUAUUCGAAAAUAGUAGUUCUCGGUUAUCCCCACCAACACCUUCAUUUUCUAUAUAAAACUACCUAAAAUUGUUCUUAUCCCCGGAAAUAAUCCAAUUUUCAUCCAAACACUAUUUUUCUUAUCCCCAUACUUAUACCUAUCCCUGUAAUAGCUAGUUCUUGUUUAUACCCGAACCAAACGGUACCUUAGAGAUUUAGAUCGAAGUCUCAGAUCACCAGAAUUCCUUCUUUCCGACUCAAAGACCAAU